UACGGGGGGGAGCAAGCGUUGUUCGGAUUUACUGGGCGUAAAGGGCGCGUAGGCGGCAACUCAAGUCAUCUGUGAAAUCUCCGGGCUUAACUCGGAACGGUCAGAUGAUACUGUUUUGCUAGAGUGCAGAAGGGGCAAUCGGAAUUCUUGGUGUAGCGGUGAAAUGCGUAGAUAUCAAGAGGAACACCUGAGGUGAAGACGGGUUGCUGGGCUGAUACUGACGCUGAGGCGCGAAAGCCAGGGGAGCGAACGGG
This 254-nucleotide ribosomal RNA is filed under the name uncultured bacterium. RNAcentral's name for it is "partial 16S ribosomal RNA". It matches the Rfam family "Bacterial small subunit ribosomal RNA", at positions 524 to 776 of the family's 1533-position model. The record is from RNAcentral.